AGCUCACUGGUCGAGUGAUCCUGCGCCGAAGAUUUCCGGGGCUAAAACUUACUACCGAAGCUACGGCAUCAGUAAUGAUGGGUAGGGGAGCUUCCCAUACGGGUUGAAGCAUGACCGUAAGGACAUGGGGACAGUAUGGGAGUGAGAAUGUUGGCAUGAGUAGCGAGAUGUGGGUGAGAAUCCCACAGGCCGUAAACCCAAGGUUUCCAGGGGAAGGU
RNAcentral lists this ribosomal RNA (218 nucleotides) under Clostridioides difficile. RNAcentral's name for it is "partial 23S ribosomal RNA". It matches the Rfam family "Bacterial large subunit ribosomal RNA", at positions 1139 to 1365 of the family's 2925-position model. The record is from RNAcentral. Lineage: Bacteria; Bacillati; Bacillota; Clostridia; Peptostreptococcales; Peptostreptococcaceae.